CGGACGGCCGUGAUCGCAUCUCCUCUCUCGUGAUGGCAUCACUGCAGGGGAGGCGCCUUCUUCCAGAAAGUGGCUGCCGGCAAAGCUAUUAGUCAAAAGCACGAUAGGAAAAGGGCGUGGGUCAAGUUGACGUUGGAGAAUAUGCUUUAAACCUAUAAACAAAGGCAAAUGGUGGGAUAGAGUACGGAUCAUUCGCUGGAAUCAAGACGCUUCCAUGAUUGAUUAAUCGAAGAUACACUGAUGUUCCCGACCUUCUUGAGAAGUCAAUCAACGGAUUGGUUCAUCCUUCUCCAGGUACAUUUUCUCGGUGCUCUAUCGCUUGCUAAGUUUUAUGUGUUUUUUUGUUUCAAAAAGAUAUAACUUUAUGCAUUUUGCUUCUCAAAUUAUCUUUGUUCUCCAUCAUUGGUAAUCUCUCUCUUGCUGCUCUUUUACAUGUCUUUUCUUUUUUUUCCUUAUAGCUAGAAUGUACACAUCAUUCAGUUCUCAUUUUAUGUUUCCUGUUUAAGUAUAUUUCUUAACUCAGAUCAACACAUACUCUAGAGAAACACAACAUUAUAGCAUCAGGGUUUUCAAUUCCGUGAUGAGACAUCUUGCUGCUUAGGCUAGAGCUUGGACACACUGAUGCUGCUAGAACUCAAUUGAUCUGAUAUGCUGCUUUACUUUGUUUUAUCUAGGAAUUGGGUAGUUGCUCUUGAUAUGUGAAAAAUAGUUGAAAUGAUUUAAAUUUCCUGAAACCAGUAGUCUGAAGUAUAAUUAUCUGUAGGCUCAGAACAUGUACUUGAUUAGUAGAAUUAUCAACAAUAUCUUCUUAGUUGCAAACUAUGAGUCAUUCAACACGACCAGUAGUGUGCGGGUGUCGACCUCAAUCUGUCUACUCUCACAGUCUAUUGGCCCUGAAGGCUGAGGAAUUGGCUACGUAGGAGACAAGGGUUGUCCUAGCACGAGACAUAAUAUACUAGUAGAGUACCUGGGAAUAAAUGUCCUUGGUGGCUUGGGAUAAGGAUGGGGGGGGAUUGGGAUCUGUGACUUCAAUUGUUGCUAUGGAUGCACCCGAAGGAAGUUGCUUGGGAGUGGGGAGUUUACCGUUCCCAUGUUCUCCAUUCAUUUACUCCACUCCAUGUGCGUGGGUGAUGGCCAGAACAUGCAAGGAGGAUUCACUCACUCACUCACUCUGUACAAUACAAGAGCAAAAGAGAGAGUGAGUGCUCUGUGGAGUCUCUCUCACCUGCCAUGAAUUAUAGAAUACGAAGCUACCUUGUUCGUGAUUGAUUUAAUUUGCUGAUCUUUCUUUUAGAGAGAGAGAGAGAGAGAGAGAGAGAGACAAAACCUGAGCUGCUUUCGUGAAGGUUCAUUCCAUGCUGUGUCCUCAAGUUGGCAUUAUUGGGGUGAAAGCUUUCCACAUGGAAGCGGACUGAAAGAAAACUCCAAAAGUGGUGUUCCUUCUGCUUCACCUCUCUCUUGUCCAACAGAUCUGAACUGCCCUCGCCACCACGACUCCUCUCGGAACUUCCAUAUGCUUCCUUUCUUGCAGUAUACUCCUCCGGUGACUCCUAUGCUUGCAUGAACACAUCAUUUGUGCAGCCUCGUCAACUUACUAAAAUAGCCUUUGCUCCCUUCAUAGAUUUUCUUGGUGUUUCUUUCUUUCUGACUUGAGCACAACGAAGUCAUGCCUCUUCCAGAUUAAGCUUUUCAUGCGUAAAAUGUCACACCACCAUCUGAGGGGUCAUGUCUCUUCUCGAUCUAAGUCAUUCAGAUUAUUGCACUGGGAGCUUUGAGGCAUGAUGGAUGGAGGGGUGGAUUAAUCUUAAGGAGGAGGCUUAGACCCCUCAGACCCAGCAAGAGCCACGUGGGUCGAGCAGCCUUUGCCUACCGCUCCGCCCGGAGGUGCGGAACGCGAAUCAUUGAAACUUUCAACGAGGGAGUGGCACUCUUGUGGUUUUCUUAGAAUUGGAGGGUCAUUGGGUUGUUCGUCACCGCCAUUACUGGCGUUAUCGUAUUAGAUCUCUCUGGGGAUGACGUGGGCGCGCGCAAUUUAAUGCCGCAAUUAAUCCCUUUUAAUGCUUUCUCCGGAGGCAAAUGACAUAUAUAUCCUCGUGCUUCUGUGAUCUGCUGCACCUCCUCCCCUUUCUCUUUCCUCUGUCACCGUCCGUAUUUAACUCCUUCGCCCUUCCCUCUCCCUCCAAAUUUGCUGCUCAGCUUCUUCUCUCUUCUCCUCUUCUCCUCCACCACAAGGAUUCCUCUCCGAGCUGACCACCUUGUAACGUGUGCUUCUCUUUGCCCCUCUUAAGGGAAUCCUGUGGCCUCCACUGCCUUCGUCUUCAGUUCUUGAUCUCCGCAGCCA
This is a long non-coding RNA of Musa acuminata subsp. malaccensis (wild Malaysian banana), 2341 nucleotides long. RefSeq lists it as uncharacterized. The record is from RefSeq and is a predicted model, not a curated record. Lineage: Eukaryota; Viridiplantae; Streptophyta; Magnoliopsida; Zingiberales; Musaceae.